Molecule: ribosomal RNA, 929 nt
Filed under: uncultured bacterium
Lineage: Bacteria
Also listed under: 1 other name
Description: bacterial SSU rRNA
Rfam family: Bacterial small subunit ribosomal RNA
Source: RNAcentral
CAUUGGAUCCAGACUUUGAUCAUGGCUCAGGAUGAACGCUAGCUACAGGCUUAACACAUGCAAGUCGAGGGGAAGCGACAUCGAAAGCUUGCUUUUGAUGGGCGUCGACCGGCGCACGGGUGAGUAACGCGUAUCCAACCUGCCCAUCACUUGGGGAUAACCUUGCGAAAGUAAGACUAAUACCCAAUGAUAUCCCACGAAGGCAUCUGAAUGGGAUUAAAGAUUUAUCGGUGAUGGAUGGGGAUGCGUCUGAUUAGCUUGUUGGCGGGGUAACGGCCCACCAAGGCAACGAUCAGUAGGGGUUCUGAGAGGAAGGUCCCCCACAUUGGAACUGAGACACGGUCCAAACUCCUACGGGAGGCAGCAGUGAGGAAUAUUGGUCAAUGGGCGAGAGCCUGAACCAGCCAAGUAGCGUGCAGGAUGACGGCCCUAUGGGUUGUAAACUGCUUUUAUAAGGGAAUAAAGUGAGUCUCGUGAGACUUUUUGCAUGUACCUUAUGAAUAAGGACCGGCUAAUUCCGCGCCAGCAGCCGCGGUAAUACGGAAGGUCCGGGCGUUAUCCGGAUUUAUUGGGUUUAAAGGGAGCGUAGGCCGGAGAUUAAGCGUGUUGUGAAAUGUAGUGGCUCAACCUCUGCACUGCAGCGCGAACUGGUCUUCUUGAGUACGCACAACGUGGGCGGAAUUCGUGGUGUAGCGGUGAAAUGCUUAGAUAUCACGAAGAACUCCGAUUGCGAAGGCAGCUCACGGGAGCGCAACUGACGCUGAAGCUCGAAAGUGCGGGUAUCGAACAGGAUUAGAUACCCUGGUAGUCCGCACGGUAAACGAUGGAUGCCCGCUGUUGGCCUGAAUAGGUCAGCGGCCAAGCGAAAGCAUUAAGCAUCCCACCUGGGGAGUACGCCGGCAACGGUGCAACUCAAAGGAAUUGACGGA